RNAcentral lists this ribosomal RNA (334 nucleotides) under uncultured bacterium. RNAcentral describes it as "partial 16S ribosomal RNA". It matches the Rfam family "Bacterial small subunit ribosomal RNA", at positions 338 to 670 of the family's 1533-position model. The record is from RNAcentral.
CCUACGGGUGGCAGCAGUGAGGAAUAUUGGUCAAUGGGCGAGAGCCUGAACCAGCCAAGCCGCGUGAGGGAUGACUGCCCUAUGGGUUGUAAACCUCUUUUGCCUGGGGGGAAUAAGCCGUACGAGUAGAGUGCUGACGGUACCCUGCGAAUAAGCAUCGGCUAACUCCGUGCCAGCAGCCGCGGUAAUACGGAGGAUGCGAGCGUUAUCCGGAUUUAUUGGGUUUAAAGGGUGCGUAGGCGGCAGUUUAAGUUAGCGGUAAAAUAGUGGGGCUUAACCUCACCGAGCCAUUGAUACUGGGGGGCUAGAGAGCGGAGGAGGUAGGCGGAAUGCG